RNAcentral lists this non-coding RNA (45 nucleotides) under Trichobilharzia regenti. Lineage: Eukaryota; Metazoa; Platyhelminthes; Trematoda; Strigeidida; Schistosomatidae. The record is from RNAcentral.
AUCUAUAUGACGGGUCCCGAAUAGGACGAAAUGCACAUCCUGGAU